Molecule: small RNA, 131 nt
Filed under: Pectobacterium brasiliense
Lineage: Bacteria; Pseudomonadati; Pseudomonadota; Gammaproteobacteria; Enterobacterales; Pectobacteriaceae
Description: Pectobacterium carotovorum subsp. brasiliense RtT RNA
Rfam family: RtT RNA
About the family: This family represents a bacterial cis-regulatory element known as RtT RNA.
Source: RNAcentral
UCAAAUUCCUGUCAGGGGAGGGUGAGAACCUUCGACCAAGGUUCGACAAAACCGGCACGGUUUUGAGCAACGCGCAGCGUUGACCCGCAGGGUGAGGUGCGAAGCACCGAGUUAUCCUUCCCCCACCACCA